Molecule: transfer RNA, 65 nt
Filed under: Mustela putorius furo (domestic ferret)
Lineage: Eukaryota; Metazoa; Chordata; Mammalia; Carnivora; Mustelidae
Rfam family: tRNA
About the family: Transfer RNA (tRNA) molecules are approximately 80 nucleotides in length. Their secondary structure includes four short double-helical elements and three loops (D, anti-codon, and T loops). Further hydrogen bonds mediate the characteristic L-shaped molecular structure. tRNAs have two regions of fundamental functional importance: the anti-codon, which is responsible for specific mRNA codon recognition, and the 3' end, to which the tRNAs corresponding amino acid is attached (by aminoacyl-tRNA synthetases). tRNAs cope with the degeneracy of the genetic code in two manners: having more than one tRNA (with a specific anti-codon) for a particular amino acid; and 'wobble' base-pairing, i.e. permitting non-standard base-pairing at the 3rd anti-codon position.
Source: Rfam by way of RNAcentral
GCCUGGAUAGGUCUGUCGGUAGACUUUCAAUCUGAGGGUCCAGGGUUCAUGUCCCUGUUCAUGCA